UUCGAAAUCCGGAACCUUUUUUUCGCCGCAACGCAUCCGGAACAAAUGUGAAGACGGACCACUUCCGGUCCGACUGUCAACACAGGAGCAUCCACACGUGUUUUCAAACAGAUACAAUGCCGAAGCCUAAUAAAGGAAAUGGAAAGGCUCCGGAGAAGGUUUGUCACCCGUACAGCCGGAAAGCUGCUUACCUGGCCGCAGAAGAAAUCAGACUGAAAAAGAAGAAUAGAUCGAAUAAAGACAAAGCAACACGUCUGAGCGGCAUAGGUAUGCAUGUGA
This is a long non-coding RNA of Notothenia coriiceps (black rockcod), 279 nucleotides long. RefSeq lists it as uncharacterized. NCBI's taxonomy places the organism in Eukaryota, Metazoa, Chordata, Actinopteri, Perciformes, Nototheniidae. The transcript has 3 exons. The record is from RefSeq and is a predicted model, not a curated record.